Molecule: transfer RNA, 73 nt
Filed under: Camelus bactrianus (Bactrian camel)
Lineage: Eukaryota; Metazoa; Chordata; Mammalia; Artiodactyla; Camelidae
Also listed under: 2 other names
Rfam family: tRNA
About the family: Transfer RNA (tRNA) molecules are approximately 80 nucleotides in length. Their secondary structure includes four short double-helical elements and three loops (D, anti-codon, and T loops).
Source: Rfam by way of RNAcentral
GAGGGUAUAGCUCAAGUGGCAGAGCACAUGCCUAGUGUGCACGAGGCCCUGGGUUCAAUCCCCAGCAUCUCCA